RNAcentral lists this ribosomal RNA (468 nucleotides) under uncultured bacterium. RNAcentral's name for it is "partial 16S ribosomal RNA". It matches the Rfam family "Bacterial small subunit ribosomal RNA", at positions 28 to 507 of the family's 1533-position model. The record is from RNAcentral.
GACGAACGCUGGCGGCGUGCUUAACACAUGCAAGUCGAACGGAAAGGCCCUGCUUUUGUGGGGUGCUCGAGUGGCGAACGGGUGAGUAACACGUGAGUAACCUGCCCUUGACUUUGGGAUAACUUCAGGAAACUGGGGCUAAUACCGGAUAGGAGCUCCUGCUGCAUGGUGGGGGUUGGAAAGUUUCGGCGGUUGGGGAUGGACUCGCGGCUUAUCAGCUUGUUGGUGGGGUAGUGGCUUACCAAGGCUUUGACGGGUAGCCGGCCUGAGAGGGUGACCGGCCACAUUGGGACUGCGAUACGGCCCACACUCCUACGGGAGGCCGCAGUGGGUAAUAUUGCACAAUGGGCGGAAGCCUGAUGCAGCAACGCCGCGUGCGGGAUGAAGGCCUUCGGGUUGUAAACCGCUUUCGCCUGUGACGAAGCGUUAGUGACGGUAAUGGGUAAAGAAGCACCGGCUAACUACGUG